Molecule: small RNA, 868 nt
Filed under: Pan troglodytes (chimpanzee)
Lineage: Eukaryota; Metazoa; Chordata; Mammalia; Primates; Hominidae
Description: processed transcript
Source: RNAcentral
CAGCAGGGUCAGAAGGGAGGUGGUCGCCCUCCGUCGUGGCCUGGCGUGGAUUCCGAGCGUUGGUGUCUGGCGGUUUCCGACCGUUGGUGUCUGGCACGCGCCACCCCGAUGUACCAGGUAAAGCCCUAUCACGGGGUCGGCGCCCCUCUCCGUGUGGAGCCCACCUGCAUGUACUGGCUCCCCAACAGGCACGGCAGGAGCGGCGGCCCAGCACUCGGCACUGGCCACUUGCAGACAAGAAGACAAGAAAAUGAUUUGAGGACAGCUUCAAUCGCGGUGUGAAGAAGAAAGCAGCAAAACGACCACUGAAAACAACGCCGGUGGCAAAACAUCCAAAGAAAGGGUCCCAAGCGGUACAUCGUCAUAGCUGGAAACAGUCAGAGCCACCAGCCAAUGAUCUUUUCAAUGCUGCGAAAGCUGCCGAAAGUGACAUGCAGUGUGGCCAUGAGCUCUGCCGGAAGUAACUUGUUGGUGUUAUCUCCUGAGUUAAAAUGUGAAGGGAUUUUUUUUUUUCAGAUGACUGAGAGUCUUCAGUUACUAGCCCUAGCCAGGGUUGAGUUCUCACCCACCUGUGCCGCCCUGCCUUGUUACCUGGAAGCUCAGCCUUGGGGACUGAGCAGGCCCUCACUGUCACUUUAAGAAGGGAUUCAGCCACUUUGUGCUCACCACCUCUGGGGAAGGUGUGAGAGGAGAGAAGGAAGUGGCUGUUUGGCUGCUGACAAUAUGAAGACUUCCUGUGAUGAGAACAGAGGCACAGGUGCCGGCCCUGCAGCCCCCAGAACCCGGACUGGAGGGGGCCAUGGGGCGCCGGACCCUGGCCCUGCCCUGGGUGCUGCUGACCCUGCGUGUCACUGCGGGUGAGUGCCGG